UCUGCUGCUACCCGUUGUCUGGGCCGAUUAGAUGGCGGAGAGGAAGUGAGGAACACACACAGCAGCAGCAGCCACCGGGUGAUAAGCCUCGCCGCCGCCGGUCCCGGCCGCUGUCGUCGGCGAAGCACUCGAGUUGAAAGCAGCAUGAGACGAAGGAGGGUGCUUCUGCAACGAGUUUCCAGAUUGGCAGGCUACUGAUGACCCCAGCAUUCUUGUGGCGAAUGAUAAAACCGAGCCUUUGCUUCCGUCGGUGCAUUAUCCAAAUAAGACAUGUUAAAAACAAGCCAGCUGUAGCAGACAUGGAAGCUGGAAAGUUUUACAGAAAAAAGAAAGUGAAUCCUUGCCAUAUGAAGAUAUGCUUGUACCGUGUAUAAACGAAAAGAAUCUUGAAAAUGUUAUGAUGUCAAAAUGUGUAUUUAGCAGUGCUGCAGAAUAUGAGAUUUAGCAAUCUGAGACAAAAAUAAAUGACACUAGAAUUAUUCAUUUUAUUAUCAUAACAGAGCAGAAUGGAGCUGGGAUGCUAGCUGAAUCAUGUGAUUAUCUACAUGUUCACAUAGCUUAUUCACCAACGGUAGGCGUACCUAUCAAAAUUGGCCUGGCAGGCUUCAGGUGACUCCCAUCUGCAACAAAUUUCAAUUUAAUCAACGGAAAAUUUCAGCUGUGAAAAAAAUAUCAAACGAAUACCAGGUGAGAAGCUGGGCAAAAGAAAAAAAAAAUAGGUGAGAAAACAAGAGGUGCUCAUAUUUUUUUUAAUGUAAACUGGCUAAUUGAACUGUGAGGAAGCAGUUAUCCCCACUGCUGUAAUAUCUGACGCUUGGUUUAGUUUAGUUAUUGUUGAUGUAUGUUUGGUUCAGUCUUUAUUCAUGAAUAAA
Long non-coding RNA from Oryza brachyantha (malo sina), 872 nucleotides. RefSeq lists it as uncharacterized. The transcript has 3 exons. The record is from RefSeq and is a predicted model, not a curated record. Lineage: Eukaryota; Viridiplantae; Streptophyta; Magnoliopsida; Poales; Poaceae.